RNAcentral lists this ribosomal RNA (485 nucleotides) under uncultured bacterium. RNAcentral's name for it is "bacterial SSU rRNA". It matches the Rfam family "Bacterial small subunit ribosomal RNA", at positions 28 to 507 of the family's 1533-position model. The record is from RNAcentral.
GAUGAACGCUAGCGACAGGCUUAACACAUGCAAGUCGAGGGGCAGCACAGGUAGCAAUACCGGGUGGCGACCGGCGCACGGGUGAGUAACGCGUAUGCAACUUACCUAUCAGAGGGGGAUAACCCGGCGAAAGUCGGACUAAUACCGCAUGAAGCAGGGGCCCCGCAUGGGGAUAUUUGCUAAAGAUUCAUCGCUGAUAGAUAGGCAUGCGUUCCAUUAGGCAGUUGGCGGGGUAACGGCCCACCAAACCGACGAUGGAUAGGGGUUCUGAGAGGAAGGUCCCCCACAUUGGUACUGAGACACGGACCAAACUCCUACGGGAGGCAGCAGUGAGGAAUAUUGGUCAAUGGGCGUAAGCCUGAACCAGCCAAGUCGCGUGAGGGAUGAAGGUUCUAUGGAUCGUAAACCUCUUUUAUAAGGGAAUAAAGUUCGGGACGUGUCCCGUUUUGUAUGUACCUUAUGAAUAAGGAUCGGCUAACUCCGUG